AACGAACGCUGGCGGCAUGCCUAACACAUGCAAGUCGAACGAGACCUUCGGGUCUAGUUGCGCACGGGUUCGUAACGCGUGGGAACCUGCCCUUAGGUUCGGCAUAACUCCCCGAAAGGGGUGCUAAUACCGGAUAAUGUCUUCGGCCCAAAGAUUUAUCGCCUUUGGAUGGGCCCGCGUUGGAUUAGCUAGUUGGUAGGGUAAAAGCCUACCAAGGCGACGAUCCAUAGCUGGUCUGAGAGGAUGAUCAGCCACACUGGGACUGAGACACGGCCCAGACUCCUACGGGAGGCAGGAGUGGGGAAUAUUGGACAAUGGGCGAAAGGCUGAUCCAGCAAUGCCGCGUGAGUGAUGAAGGCCUUAGGGUUGUAAAGCGCUUUUACCCGGGAUGAUAAUGACAGUACCGGGAGAAUAAGCUCCGGCUAACUACGUG
Molecule: ribosomal RNA, 433 nt
Filed under: uncultured bacterium
Lineage: Bacteria
Description: partial 16S ribosomal RNA
Rfam family: Bacterial small subunit ribosomal RNA
Source: RNAcentral